RNAcentral lists this ribosomal RNA (1459 nucleotides) under metagenome. RNAcentral's name for it is "bacterial LSU rRNA". It matches the Rfam family "Bacterial large subunit ribosomal RNA", at positions 1437 to 2925 of the family's 2925-position model. The record is from RNAcentral.
UCCUGCACCCGUAAUGAACAGUACUGUAGUGACACGGAAGGUAAGACAGAGCCGGGAAUGAGAAAACCGGUGCAAGCACAAUAGAUGUGCGGGAGGAAAAACCCCCGUAUAAGUCGAAGGUGUGAUGCGGACCGAAAAAGAGUAGGGAAGCUGUUAAGCAAGCCGUCAAGAAAAGCUGCUAUUGUUUCAUUAUGGCCCGUACCGUAAACCGACACAGGUGGAUGAGGAGAGAAUCCUAAGGCCGGCGGAAGAAGUAUUGUUAAGGAACUCGGCAAAAUGACCCCGUAACUUCGGGAGAGGGGGUGCCUGCGAGAGCAGGCCGCAGAGAAGAGGCCCAAGCAACUGUUUAGCAAAAACACAGGUCUAUGCAAAACCGAAAGGUGAGGUAUAUGGGCUGACGCCUGCCCGGUGCUGGAAGGUUAAGGGGAGUGGUCAGGAAACGAAGCCACGAACUUAAGCCCCAGUAAACGGCGGCCGUAACUAUAACGGUCCUAAGGUGGCGAAAUUCCUUGUCGGGUAAGUUCCGACCCGCACGAAAGGCGUAAUGAUUUGGGCGCUGUCUCGACAAUACAUCCGGUGAAAUUGAAGUGCCAGUGAAGAUGCUGGCUACCUGCGCCAGGACGGAAAGACCCCAUGGAGCUUUACUCCAGCUUGAUACUGGGACCCGGUAUUGCAUGUACAGGAUAGGUGGGAGGCUAGGAAAUGUGGACGCCAGUCUGCAUGGAGCCGCUGUUGGGAUACCACCCUUGUGGUGCUGGGUUUCUAACCAGAGGCCGUGAACCGGUCUGGGGACAAUGUCAGGUGGGGAGUUUGACUGGGGCGGUCGCCUCCGAAAGGGUAUCGGAGGCGCCCAAAGGUUCCCUCAGAAUGGUUGGAAACCAUUCGAAGAGUGCAAAGGCAGAAGGGAGCUUGACUGUGACACCGACGGGUGGAGCAGGUACGAAAGUAGGGCUUAGUGAUCCGGUGGAAUUUAAGUGGGAAUGCCAUCGCUCAACGGAUAAAAGCUACCCUGGGAUAACAGGCUGAUCACUCCCAAGAGUUCACAUCGACGGAGUGGUUUGGCACCUCGAUGUCGGCUCAUCGCAUCCUGGGGCUGAAGUCGGUCCCAAGGGUUGGGCUGUUCGCCCAUUAAAGCGGUACGCGAGCUGGGUUCAGAACGUCGUGAGACAGUUCGGUCCCUAUCCGGCGUGGGCGUAGGAUAUCUGAGAGGAGCUGUCCUUAGUACGAGAGGACCGGGAUGGACUGACCUCUGGUGUACCGGUUGGCGAUCAACGCCACGGCCGGGUAGCCAUGUCGGGACGGGAUAAACGCUGAAGGCAUCUAAGCGUGAAGCCCCCCUCAAGAUGAGAUAUCCCAUCGUAAGAGUAAGACCCCUUGAAGACGACGAGGUUGAUAGGGCAGGGGUGGAAGUGCUGUAAGGCAUGGAGCUGACUGCUACUAAUCGGUCGAGGGCUUGUAA